Molecule: small RNA, 1077 nt
Filed under: Pan troglodytes (chimpanzee)
Lineage: Eukaryota; Metazoa; Chordata; Mammalia; Primates; Hominidae
Description: processed transcript
Source: RNAcentral
UGGCUCGGGAGGCGAUCGUGGCCGCUGCCGCCGCCAGAGCCGGCCGGAGUCGGCCCGGAGCCGCGUCCACGCGGAGCGGGCGGGUGGGAGCUGGCGGCUGGGCCCCUGCGGCGCCCCCGCGGCCUGCCCCGCGUCCGCCUCCGGGCCGCCGAGCCGCAGCCGCCGAGAUGGGGGCCGCCCCGGGCCGCGCCCCCGCCGGGUCCCGCCCGCCGCGCUGCCGCUGAGCGCAUGGGCCGGGCCGCGCCGCGCCGCUCCGGGAGCCGGGCCCGGGGUCCCGCCACCACCGCGCGCGGGUAUGGAUCCUGGCGGGAGCCAGUCAACCCCUAUUAUGUCAAUGCCGGCUAUGCCCUGGCCCCAGCCACCAGUGCCAACGACAGCGAGCAGCAGAGCCUGUCCAGCGAUGCAGACACCCUGUCCCUCACGGACAGCAGUGUGGAUGGGAUCCCCCCAUACAGGAUCCGUAAGCAGCACCGCAGGGAGAUGCAGGAGAGCGUGCAGGUCAAUGGGCGGGUGCCCCUACCUCACAUUCCCCGCACGCACCGGGUGCCGAAGGAGGUCCGCGUGGAGCCUCAGAAGUUCGCGGAGGAGCUCAUCCACCGCCUGGAGGCCGUGCAGCGCACGCGGGAGGCCGAGGAGAAGCUGGAGGAGCGGCUGAAGCGCGUGCGCAUGGAGGAGGAAGGUGAGGACGGCGAUCCAUCCUCAGGGCCCCCAGGGCCGUGUCACAAGCUGCCUCCCGCCCCCGCUUGGCACCACUUCCCGCCCCGCUGUGUGGACGUGGGCUGUGCCGGGCUCCGGGAUGCACACGAGGAGAACCCUGAGAGCAUCCUGGACGAGCACGUACAGCGUGUGCUGAGGACACCUGGCCGCCAGUCGCCUGGGCCUGGCCACCGCUCCCCGGACAGUGGGCACGUGGCCAAGAUGCCAGUGGCACUGGGGGGUGCUGCCUCGGGGCACGGGAAGCACGUACCCAAGUCAGGGGCGAAGCUGGACGCGGCCGGCCUGCACCACCACCGACACGUCCACCACCACAUCCACCACAGCACAGCCCGGCCCAAGGAGCAGGUGGAGGCCGAGGCC